CUCCGGCAGAGCUGCGAGCCGAGGUCGCCGGUUGGCCUCGUAAAUCAACCGGCACCAAAGCAAGUGCGAACAAGAACGAACUCGCACUCGCCGCCUAGUCUGACUAGGUAAGGCGACGUCGACCCGGAUUCGGCCCGAGAUCCGGAGUUCGGCGCCAACAAUCGGGCUCGGCGCCUAGGGAGAGCCAAUCGCCCGAAGCGCGACACUGAAGGAUGGCUGGCCCGUCAGUUGGUCGUUCGCGAACCGGCCGGCGGGCGAGAUCAAGCGCGAACUACGCUCGUAGACGCUCUGUCCGGUGCGACCGCGGACGCGGGUUCGAUUCCCGCCGCCUCCACUC
RNAcentral lists this transfer-messenger RNA (337 nucleotides) under Actinomycetota bacterium. RNAcentral describes it as "partial transfer-messenger RNA". It matches the Rfam family "transfer-messenger RNA". From Rfam's summary of the family: Bacterial tmRNA, also known as 10Sa RNA or SsrA, is named for its dual tRNA and mRNA-like properties. The record is from RNAcentral. Lineage: Bacteria; Bacillati; Actinomycetota.